CCCAAUGUCUUUAACAAGGAUAAAUGAAAUUCAAUAAAUGACCAGAGAGCGCGCACCUCCUUAUAUCUCAACCAAGGGCCCUUUCCCACCCACUACUAUGAAGUGGCCACAAUUUCAAACCACCUCCCUUCCCAUAGCGUUAGAUGACCCAGGGCGCUCAUCAAAAUUGAGAUUUAUUAAUCAUUCAUUACCACCAAACUAUACACUUGAAAUAUUAAACCGUCUCAACAACCUUGCUGGGGUAACUUAGAGCAUCAUAAUCGAAUCACAAUGGCAUUACCACUUGAUGACUCAUGGCAUUCUGGAAUAAUGCAGGAGAAGGAAACCAACCCCAUGGAUUCUACCAUUGCCACAAGCUGUCAUGUUUAAAUACCAUGUGUCGUGGGCAGGAAGGCAUGGAGACAGUGGUAAUAGAGUUGGCUUUCUUCUUCACAUGUCCUCGGCCUUCUGAAGCACCAUGGUACAGCAGAAAGCAUCAACUUUGGAAGCAGAACUAGCUUUACUUACAAGUUAUAUGAUGUUGAACAGGCUAUUAAAAGCUCUUUCAAUCUCAGUUUCCUCAUCUGAUAAAUGGGGACGGCAGGAGUAUUUUAUAGGCUCCCAGUAAAGGUUGGCUCCCUUCCCUGUGCUGCAACUUCACACAGUUUAUGUCUUCAUUCUCCCCCACGUAACACAGGUUGUUUUUCUCAUCUUCAACAAGGAAGUAGAUGAAUGUAAGAAGACUCUUGGUAAUACAA
This is a long non-coding RNA of Eptesicus fuscus (big brown bat), 737 nucleotides long. RefSeq lists it as uncharacterized. The record is from RefSeq and is a predicted model, not a curated record. NCBI's taxonomy places the organism in Eukaryota, Metazoa, Chordata, Mammalia, Chiroptera, Vespertilionidae. The transcript is spliced from 3 exons.